GGUAGAAUGGCUGAAGAUAAGCAUUAGACUGUAAAUCUAAAAAUAAAGGUAAUGUCCUUUUUCUAUCA
This 68-nucleotide transfer RNA is filed under the name Santamartamys rufodorsalis (red crested soft-furred spiny-rat). Its description in RNAcentral is "tRNA-Tyr". It matches the Rfam family "tRNA". Rfam says of the family: Transfer RNA (tRNA) molecules are approximately 80 nucleotides in length. Their secondary structure includes four short double-helical elements and three loops (D, anti-codon, and T loops). Further hydrogen bonds mediate the characteristic L-shaped molecular structure. tRNAs have two regions of fundamental functional importance: the anti-codon, which is responsible for specific mRNA codon recognition, and the 3' end, to which the tRNAs corresponding amino acid is attached (by aminoacyl-tRNA synthetases). tRNAs cope with the degeneracy of the genetic code in two manners: having more than one tRNA (with a specific anti-codon) for a particular amino acid; and 'wobble' base-pairing, i.e. permitting non-standard base-pairing at the 3rd anti-codon position. The record is from RNAcentral. Lineage: Eukaryota; Metazoa; Chordata; Mammalia; Rodentia; Echimyidae.